UACUUAACAGCUAGCCUUUUAUUUAAAUACAACAAUUCAAUAUUAAUACCCCCUAAUUCACUAAAUUUCAAUAAACAAACCAUUUUUCCCCCUUAGUAUGGGCGACAGAAAAGGGAAGAAAGAGCAAUAGAGAAAGUACCGCAAGGGAAUGCUGAAAGAGAAAUGAAACAAAUCAGUAAAGUUUAAAAAAGCAGAGAUUAGUACU
Molecule: ribosomal RNA, 205 nt
Filed under: Trichogaster fasciata (banded gourami)
Lineage: Eukaryota; Metazoa; Chordata; Actinopteri; Anabantiformes; Osphronemidae
Description: partial 16S ribosomal RNA
Source: RNAcentral